RNAcentral lists this ribosomal RNA (519 nucleotides) under uncultured eukaryote. RNAcentral describes it as "SSU rRNA". It matches the Rfam family "Eukaryotic small subunit ribosomal RNA", at positions 1161 to 1705 of the family's 1831-position model. The record is from RNAcentral.
AGGGCACCACCAGGGGUGGAGCCUGCGGCUUAAUUUGACUCAACACGGGAAAUCUCACCAGGCCCGGACACCGGUAGGAUUGACAGAUUGAUAGCUCUUUCUCGAUUUUGUGGGUGGUGGUGCAUGGCCGUUCUUAGUUGGUGGAGCGAUUUGUCUGGUUAAUUCCGAUAACGAACGAGACUCUAGCCUAUUAAAUAGACGCAAUAUUUGUUUGUAUUACGUCCUUCUUAGAGGGACAAGCAGCUCCUAGCUGCACGAGAUUGAGCAAUAACAGGUCUGUGAUGCCCUUAGAUGUCUGGGGCUGCACGCGCGCUACAAUGAAGGUAGCAAAGUGCUUAGAAUCCAUGUCUGAAAAGACUUGGUAAUCACGAAUUAUUUUCGUGCUUGGGAUAGGGGAUUGCAAUUAUUUCCCUUGAACGAGGAAUUUCUAGUAAGUGUGAGUCAUAAGCUCACGUUGAUUACGUCCCUGCCCUUUGUACACACCGCCCGUCGCUACUACCGAUUGGAAGGUUCAGUGAA